AGAGAUAGAGUUGUGCAAACUUUGUUUGCUAUGGCUCUUGAACCUAUAAGCGAAGUUAUGUCUGAUAGAUGCAGUUUUGCAUAUAGACCUUAUCGAAGUGCUAAAGAUGCCUGUCAAUAUAUUUGAUUUCUUUUAAGUAGACAGCGAGGCAACCCUAGAUGAAUUUUCGAAAGAGAUAUCAAGGGUUUCUUUGAUAAUAUAUGCCAUGAGUGAAUAUUAGAAAAUAUUCCUAUGGAUAAAAAGAUAUUGUCAAAAAUGUUAAAAGCUGGCGUUAUGAAUGAAGGCAGUUAUCAAGAUACUGAAGAAGGUAUUCCACAGGGUGGUGUAAUAUCUCCUAUUAUAGCUAAUUUAUGCCUUGAUGGUUUAGAUAAAACUAUAAAAAGGGCGUCUAAUAAUAAAGCAACUCUUGUGAGAUAUGCGGAUGAUUUCAUUAUAGUGUCCCAGAACUAUGAUAUUUUAGAUAAGUUAAUUCUAGAUGUUAACAAAUUUCUAAAAAUAAGAGGUUUAGAAUUAAAUAUGGAAAAAAGUAAAAUCACUAAAAUUGAAAAUGGAUUUGAUUUUGUAGGUUUCCACUUUAGGGAAUUCUCGGAUUCUACUCGAGAAAUCGGGGAAAAGAAAGGGAUUUUUCUAUACAAACCUACAAAAGAAAGCUUACAAAAAGUAAAAGCUAAAAUAAAACUUUGUGUCAAAGAACAUUCGCAACUUCCUCUGUGAAUGCUUUUCUCAAAACUAAAUCCAAUAUUAAGGGGCUGAGCAAAUUAUUACUCGUCUAGUACUGCAAAGUUAGCUUAUACCCGAAUAAGUAAAUACGUUUUUGAUUCCAUUCAUCGCAUGAUAAAAAUUAAGCAUCCAAAGCUUAAUGCUAAAGCGCUUAAAUCCAAAUUUUAUCACAAAGUGAAUAAUAGAGAUUGAUUAAUGUCUACUAGCACUGAAUUUAAAAGAUUUAAGAAAAUUAAUUUGUUUCAAAUAUCCGACACUCCUAUUAAAAGAACUACUAUGAUAAAACUUGACGCUAAUUCCUAUUUGGGUGAGUUUGAGGAGUAUUUUAAUAAAAGAUCUUUGAAUAUGUGUUUUAAUCAGCAAACGAAUAAUAUUCGAUUAAAGCUGGCAAAAAGACAAAAAGGUAUGUGCCCUAUAUGUAAAGAAUCUUUAAAUAGUCAAUAUGGAGAUAUAUUGUACGAAUUAGAAAUUCACCAUAUCAUACCUGUGGUGAGUGGAGGUAAAAAUAUAUUAAAAAAUAUGACUCUUCUUCAUAAAACGUGUCAUCGCGACAGAGCUGCGAAUGAGAUAAUUAUACUUAAGGAACUCGGCAAAUUUGCUCCGUACGUUCGCAACAAGGAGUACCUUAAAGGAUUCAAAAAUUAGGGGUAGCGACUGUUUAACAAAAACUCAAAACUUUGCAAAUUCGAAAGAAGACGUAUAAGGUUUGACGCCUGCCCAGUGCUUGAAAGCGAAAAAUACACGUUAACGCUUGUAUCAUAAACUCAAGUAAACGGCGGUCUUAACUAUAAGGAUCCUCAGGUAGCGAAAUUCCUUGGCGGGUAAAUUCCGUCCUGCAUGAAUGGCGUCACGACUACCCCACUGUCUCUAGUAUAAACUCAGCGAAAUUACAUUGUCUGUGAAAAUGCAGACAUCCUACAACAAGACGGAAAGACCCUAUGAUUCUUAACUAUAAUUUUACGUCGCAAUAAUUUUGUGUACAGUACAGUAAAAGUAGGAGUAUACUUAUACAAUUUUGAAAAACUACUCUGUACAUAAGAAAUUGCUUACUGAAGAGAAAAUAUGUAAAAGUGGUAGUUUACUUGGGACGAGGACCUCCUAAACUGUAACGGAGGUGCACAAAAGUAAAUUUUAAUUAGUUUUUUGUAUUAAUAAAAUAUGUAAUGGUAAAAAUUUGCUUGACGGUAAGAGUUACAACUCAAACCGGGACGAAAGUCGGUCAUAAUGAUCCGGCAGUAAUGUAUGGAAAUACUGUCGCUUAUCGGAAAAAAGAAACUCUAGGGAUAACAGAUUUAUCAUGGCUGAGAGUUCUUAUCGACGCCAUGGUUUGAUACCUCGAUGUCGGCUCAUCUUUUCCUGGAGCUGUAACAGGUUCCAAGGGUAUGGUUGUUCGCCAAAUAAUAAGAUACGUGAGCUGGGUUCAGAACGUCGUGAGACAGUUCGGUCCCUAUCUGUUGUGGGUAAGAAAAUGUACUUCUCGUAAAUAGCUAAUCUCCACUUUAGGGAUUAAACUAAUAUUACAGGUAGGAAGCUAGUUCAUACAGAUCUAGUGGGCCUAUGCAUUACUCCUAAUGCUGAUCAAUGAGCUGUGUUACAAGCAGUGAACCCUAUGCAACGUGAAAAUAGUCAUUCACGGAGUAUAAGCAGGGCAUAAAUUUAAGUGGAUGUUACUUAUAAACAUUUUAACUCGAAGAGAAUAUAUAAAUCAGUAAAUCUGUC
RNAcentral lists this ribosomal RNA (2439 nucleotides) under Pyropia haitanensis. RNAcentral describes it as "bacterial LSU rRNA". The stretch from base 1213 to 2221 matches the Rfam family "Bacterial large subunit ribosomal RNA". The record is from RNAcentral. Lineage: Eukaryota; Rhodophyta; Bangiophyceae; Bangiales; Bangiaceae.